Camellia sinensis is the source of this 435-nucleotide non-coding RNA. Lineage: Eukaryota; Viridiplantae; Streptophyta; Magnoliopsida; Ericales; Theaceae. The record is from RefSeq and is a predicted model, not a curated record.
UACAGAAUGUUUCGGACAACACAAGUUAUUUAGAGGUUUGAAAGUUUUCAUUACAGAUUUUUAAAAAGAUAUGUAUUUUAUACAGUAAACAGUGCAUAUAAAAUGAGUCUCACUGGACCUGUGCAAGCAUGAACCUGGCUCUAGCCAUUGCAGGCACCAAAAGAAUCUAAAACAGUUGAGAGUUCGGGAAAUAAGAGGAUUAAUGUUAGUGGAUCAAGUAGUUCCAGUAGUUCUAGCAGUGACUCUGGUUCUUCUUUAAGUGAUGAAAGCUUGGGCAAAAGCACAGGAUAUUAACAAUUCGAACAAUGAACUCCUUAUCCAUAAUAUUAUUGGUUGCAUUCCAUCUCCAGCUCUCUUGAAAUACAAGAGCAAAAUGAGGAAAUUCAGUCGCAAAAAGAAGAAAUUACAACACAAAAACAUGAAAUUCAAGCACAA